This is a small nucleolar RNA of Hibiscus syriacus, 107 nucleotides long. The record is from RefSeq and is a predicted model, not a curated record. Lineage: Eukaryota; Viridiplantae; Streptophyta; Magnoliopsida; Malvales; Malvaceae.
AACCCAUGCAUUGGACACUUUUGUAGUAAUUCUUUAAAUAUUUCCCAUGUUUCAUACAAGCUUUCAUCCUCCAUUUGCUUGAAUGAAGUUAUAUCAUUUUGGAGUUU